This 255-nucleotide ribosomal RNA is filed under the name uncultured bacterium. Its description in RNAcentral is "partial 16S ribosomal RNA". It matches the Rfam family "Bacterial small subunit ribosomal RNA", at positions 524 to 776 of the family's 1533-position model. The record is from RNAcentral.
UACGUAGGGCGCAAGCGUUUGUCCGGAAUUAUUGGGCGUAAAGAGCUCGUAGGCGGCUUGUCACGUCGGGUGUGAAAGCCCGGGGCUUAACCCCCGGGUCUGCAGCUGAUACGGGCAGGCUUGAGUUCGGUAGGGGAGACUGGAAUUCCUGGUGUAGCGGUGAAAUGCGCAGAUAUCAGGAGGAACACCGGUGGCGAAGGCGGGUCUCUGGGCCGAAACUGACGCUGAGGAGCGAAAGCGUGGGGAGCGAACAGG